RNAcentral lists this long non-coding RNA (992 nucleotides) under Homo sapiens (human). RNAcentral's name for it is "non-protein coding lnc-ANKRD20A8P-5:1". The record is from RNAcentral. Lineage: Eukaryota; Metazoa; Chordata; Mammalia; Primates; Hominidae.
UUCUGGGCACCUUGAAGCAUCAGGGCGCGAAAUCAAACUAGAUGUGGGCAGGGAGAGUGUUGCUUACCUGCCCUGCUGGGGCAGGGUUUCCUGAAACUGGGUUAAUUCUUUAUAGAAAUGUGAACACUGAAUUUAUUUUAAAAAAUAAUAAUAAUAAUUAAAAAUAAUUUUAAAAAAACACAGAAAACAACUUUCAUGUAUAUAGGUCUUGAAGUGAGUGAAGUGGCUGCUUUUUUUUUGCUUUUCGUAGAAGAGAUUGAGAAUGGUACUCUAACCAAAAAUAAAGUUUUGUAGUGGGACCAGAAAUUACUUACCUGACAUCCACCUGGGGGUGGGUCCCCCUCAUCCUGCUGGGGUUGAAAGUUCCAGACCUGCUGUCGAGGCCUUGUGUUUGUCAGAUACCCAGUGUCCUCCUGCAAGGACGCAACUGAGCUGAGGUGUGAGCCUAGGAGCCCAGGACCCCUGACCCCAGCCGCUGCUGCCAGCCUCAGAAAGGCACCCAGGUGUGCAGGGGAGCACACAGGGCCCGGCAGCCCCCAGGAAUCAAGGAUAGGGCUAAGGUUUUCACCUUAACUGUGAAGGCGGGAGGAAUAGGUGGCUGCUUCCUCCCGCCCUUCACAGAACUGAUUCUCAUGCACUGUCCCUUCAGUCCAGGGGGCCGGGGCUCAGGAGCCAUGACCUGGUGUCUCCUGCCCACCCUGGUCCCAGGUAAAUGUGAAUGGAGACAGGCAUGAGAGCCUGUCCUCAUCUUUGAUUUCCCCCCCAACCCCACCUCGGGCCUUACGACGGUGUUACCUAAGAAAGUCUUCCCUCCCACACCCACCCCCCGCUAGCCUGGUCAGUGGUCAGCAAAUUGGAAGAGGAUCCGAUGGGAGUGUAAAUGUGAGACACAAUGUCUUGAUUAUACCUGUUUGUGGUUUAGCUUUGUAUUUAAACAAGGAAAUAAACUUGAAAAUUAUUUGUCAUCAUAAAAAUGAAACAAAUUAAAAUAU